Molecule: ribosomal RNA, 449 nt
Filed under: uncultured bacterium
Lineage: Bacteria
Description: bacterial SSU rRNA
Rfam family: Bacterial small subunit ribosomal RNA
Source: RNAcentral
ACCCAGACUCCUACGGGAGGCAGCAGUGGGGGAUAUUGGACAAUGGGGGGAACCCUGAUCCAGCGACGCCGCGUGAGUGAAGAAGUCUCUCGGUAUGUAAAGCUCUAUCAGCAGGGAAGAAAGAAAUGACGGUACCUGACCAAGAAGCCCCGGCUAACUACGUGCCAGCAGCCGCGGUAAUACGUAGGGGGCAAGCGUUAUCCGGAUUUACUGGGUGUAAAGGGAGCGUAGACGGUUGCGCAAGGCUGGAGUGAAAGGCGGGGGACCAACCCCCGGACUGCUCUGGAAACUGUGUAACUGGAGUGCAGGAGAGGUAAGUGGAAUUCCUAGUGUAGCGGUGAAAUGCGUAGAUAUUAGGAGGAACACCAGUGGCGAAGGCGGCUCUCUGGUCUGUAACUGACGCUGAGGCUCGAAAGCGUGGGUAGCGAACAGGAGUAGAUACCCGAGUA